RNAcentral lists this ribosomal RNA (429 nucleotides) under Gemmatimonadota bacterium. RNAcentral's name for it is "Gemmatimonadetes bacterium partial 16S ribosomal RNA". It matches the Rfam family "Bacterial small subunit ribosomal RNA", at positions 355 to 776 of the family's 1533-position model. The record is from RNAcentral. Lineage: Bacteria; Pseudomonadati; Gemmatimonadota.
UAGGGAAUCUUCGGCAAUGGACGAAAGUCUGACCGAGCAACGCCGCGUGAGUGAAGAAGGUUUUCGGAUCGUAAAACUCUGUUGUUAGAGAAGAACAAGGACGUUAGUAACUGAACGUCCCCUGACGGUAUCUAACCAGAAAGCCACGGCUAACUACGUGCCAGCAGCCGCGGUAAUACGUAGGUGGCAAGCGUUGUCCGGAUUUAUUGGGCGUAAAGCGAGCGCAGGCGGUUUCUUAAGUCUGAUGUGAAAGCCCGCGGCUCAACCGGGGAGGGUCAUUGGAAACUGGGAGAUGUGAGUGCAGAAGAGGAGAGUGGAAUUCCAUGUGUAGAGGUGAAAUGCGUAGAUAUAUGGAGGAACACCAGUGGCGAAGGCGGCUCUCUGGUCUGUAACUGACGCUGAGGCUCGAAAGCGUGGGGAGCAAACAGG